GACGAACGCUGGCGGCGUGCCUAAUACAUGCAAGUCGAGCGAAGUUUUUCUGGUGCCUGCACCGGAAAAACUUAGCGGCGAACGGGUGAGUAACACGUAAAGAACCUGCCUCAUAGACUGGGACAACUAUUGGAAACGAUAGCUAAUACCGGAUAAUAGCAUUAACUGCAUGGUUGAUGUUUAAAAGUUGGUUUUGCUAACACUAUGAGAUGGCUUUGCGGUGCAUUAGCUAGUUGGUGGGGUAAAGGCCUACCAAGGCGACGAUGCAUAGCCGACCUGAGAGGGUGAUCGGCCACACUGGGACUGAGACACGGCCCAGACUCCUACGGGAGGCAGCAGUAGGGAAUCUUCCGCAAUGGGCGAAAGCCUGACGGAGCAACGCCGCGUGAGUGAAGAAGGAUUUCGGUUCGUAAAGCUCUGUUGUUAGGGAAGAAUGAUUGUGUAGUAACGAUACACAGUAGAGACGGUACCUAACCAGAAAGCCACGGCUAACUACGUG
This 499-nucleotide ribosomal RNA is filed under the name uncultured bacterium. Its description in RNAcentral is "partial 16S ribosomal RNA". It matches the Rfam family "Bacterial small subunit ribosomal RNA", at positions 28 to 507 of the family's 1533-position model. The record is from RNAcentral.